AUAACCGUAGCUGCGAAAUUCUGUGUCGACCUUAUUACCGUUUUUGACUUUCAUGUUUUGUUGACAAAUAUUUAUUCACCAUGUGGUAUGAAAUAUUGCCUACACUUGGUUUAUUUAGUACAUUUUUAAUUCUCCCAUGUUUCACUCCAUGGGUGGUUCAUGUCUUAUAUCGUGGCGUUCCCCAUAGGCGUACAUCCCAAGAGCCAGAAGACAGAAGAUUAACAACGAGAGAUGAGCGAUUAAGUGGCUAUUAUCUGAAAAUGCAGGGCCUUGAUUUCAUUCCUGACCCAAAAUAAAGUAUGCAUCAAGCUUGAUUUUUUUAUGUAGAAAAUAUGAAAGCUGAAAAUUUAUGUUAUAAUGUACUUUGUUACAAAGAAAAAACUGAAUAAAAUUUAGAAAGUAUACUA
This is a long non-coding RNA of Stegodyphus dumicola, 407 nucleotides long. The record is from RefSeq and is a predicted model, not a curated record. Lineage: Eukaryota; Metazoa; Arthropoda; Arachnida; Araneae; Eresidae.